RNAcentral lists this ribosomal RNA (331 nucleotides) under uncultured bacterium. RNAcentral's name for it is "bacterial SSU rRNA". It matches the Rfam family "Bacterial small subunit ribosomal RNA", at positions 28 to 361 of the family's 1533-position model. The record is from RNAcentral.
GACGAACGCUGGCGGCGUGCUUAACACAUGCAAGUCGAGCGGUAAGGCCCUUUCGGGGGUACACGAGCGGCGAACGGGUGAGUAACACGUGGGUGACCUGCCCUCAGCUCUGGGAUAAGCCUGGGAAACCGGGUCUAAUACCGGAUAUGACUCCAUGACGCAUGUUGUGGGGUGGAAAGCCUUGUGCGGCUGAGGAUGGGCCCGCGGCCUAUCAGCUUGUUGGUGGGGUGAGGCCUACCAAAGGCGACGACGGGUAGCCGGCCUGAGAGGCGACCGGCCACACUGGGACUGAGACACGGCCCAGACUCCUACGGGAGGCAGCAGUGGGGAA